GGAGAGUUGGCAGAGUGGUUGAAUGCGGCGGUCUUGAAAACCGUUAUACUGAGCGAUCGGUAUCCGGGGUUCGAAUCUCUGUAUCUCCG
RNAcentral lists this transfer RNA (89 nucleotides) under Ignavibacteria bacterium. Its description in RNAcentral is "tRNA-Ser". It matches the Rfam family "tRNA". Rfam says of the family: Transfer RNA (tRNA) molecules are approximately 80 nucleotides in length. Lineage: Bacteria; Pseudomonadati; Ignavibacteriota; Ignavibacteria. The record is from RNAcentral.